UAGGCCACUCAGCGUGUGUAGCCUCC
RNAcentral lists this non-coding RNA (26 nucleotides) under Rattus norvegicus (Norway rat). Lineage: Eukaryota; Metazoa; Chordata; Mammalia; Rodentia; Muridae. The record is from RNAcentral.